Molecule: ribosomal RNA, 337 nt
Filed under: uncultured bacterium
Lineage: Bacteria
Description: bacterial SSU rRNA
Rfam family: Bacterial small subunit ribosomal RNA
Source: RNAcentral
AGAGUUUGAUCAUGGCUCAGGAUGAACGCUAGCUACAGGCUUAACACAUGCAAGUCGAGGGGAAACGACAUCGAAAGCUUGCUUUUGAUGGGCGUCGACCGGCGCACGGGUGAGUAACGCGUAUCCAACCUGCCCACCACUUGGGGAUAACCUUGCGAAAGUAAGACUAAUACCCAAUGACGUCUCUAGAAGACAUCUGAAAGAGAUUAAAGAUUUAUCGGUGAUGGAUGGGGAUGCGUCUGAUUAGCUAGUUGGUGAGGUAAUGGCUCACCAAGGCAUCGAUGGGUAGGGGUUCUGAGAGGAGGGUCCCCCACAUUGGAACUGAGACACGGUCCAA